Molecule: ribosomal RNA, 253 nt
Filed under: uncultured bacterium
Lineage: Bacteria
Description: partial 16S ribosomal RNA
Rfam family: Bacterial small subunit ribosomal RNA
Source: RNAcentral
UACGAGGGGGGCGAGCGUUGUUCGGAAUUAUUGGGCGGAAAGGGUGCGUAGGCGGUUCCGCAAGUCCUGUGUGAAAUCUUCGGGCUCAACUCGAAGUCUGCACGGGAAACUGCGGGGCUUGAGUGUGGGAGAGGUGAGUGGAAUUCCCGGUGUAGCGGUGAAAUUCGUAGAUAUUCGGAAGAACACCAGUGGCGAAGGCGGCUCGCUGGACAAAUAUUGACGCUGAGGUGCGAAAGCGUGGGGAGCAAACAGG